Molecule: ribosomal RNA, 383 nt
Filed under: uncultured eukaryote
Lineage: Eukaryota
Description: partial 18S ribosomal RNA
Rfam family: Eukaryotic small subunit ribosomal RNA
Source: RNAcentral
CAAUAGCGUAUAUUAAAGUUGUUGCAGUUAAAAAGCUCGUAGUUGGAUUUCUGGUGGGAGCGAUCGGUCUGGCGCUUAGCGCGAGUACUUGCAUCGUCUCCGGCCAUCCUUGGGGAGAGUCUGUCUGGCAUUAGGUUGUCGGGCAGAGGAUCCUCAUCGUUUACUGUGAAAAAAUUAGAAUGUUCAAAGCAGGCUUAUGCCGUUGAAUAUAUUAGCAUGGAAUAAUAAGAUAGGACUUUGGUACUAUUUUGUUGGUUUGCGCACCAAAGUAAUGAUUAAUAGGGACAGUUGGGGGUAUUCGUAUUCCGUUGUCAGAGGUGAAAUUCUUGGAUUUACGGAAGACGAACUACUGCGAAAGCAUUUACCAAGGAUGUUUUCAUUAA